RNAcentral lists this ribosomal RNA (200 nucleotides) under uncultured bacterium. Its description in RNAcentral is "partial 16S ribosomal RNA". It matches the Rfam family "Bacterial small subunit ribosomal RNA", at positions 524 to 723 of the family's 1533-position model. The record is from RNAcentral.
UACGGAGGAUGCAAGCGUUAUCCGGAAUCAUUGGGUUUAAAGGGUCCGCAGGCGGAUAUAUAAGUCAGUGGUGAAAGCCUACAGCUUAACUGUAGAACUGCCAUUGAAACUGUAUGUCUUGAAUUCGAUCGAAGUGGGCGGAAUGUGUCAUGUAGCGGUGAAAUGCAUAGAUAUGGCACAGAACACCGAUAGCGAAGGCA